RNAcentral lists this ribosomal RNA (883 nucleotides) under uncultured bacterium. RNAcentral's name for it is "bacterial SSU rRNA". It matches the Rfam family "Bacterial small subunit ribosomal RNA", at positions 26 to 896 of the family's 1533-position model. The record is from RNAcentral.
AGAACGAACGCUGGCGGCGUGCUUAACACAUGCAAGUCGAACGCGAAAGUUUUCUUCGGAAAACGAGUAGAGUGGCGCACGGGUGAGUAACGCGUAAGUAAUCUACCCUGGUAUCUGGGAUAACCCACCGAAAGGUGUGCUAAUACCGGAUACGCUGAUUUAUCAGGAAAGGUGGCCUCUUCAUGAAAGCUACUGUACCAGGAGGAGCUUGCGUACCAUUAGCUAGUUGGUAGGGUAAUGGCCUACCAAGGCGACGAUGGUUAGCGGGUCUGAGAGGAUGAUCCGCCACACUGGAACUGGAACACGGACCAGACUCCUACGGGAGGCAGCAGUGAGGAAUAUUGCGCAAUGGGGGAAACCCUGACGCAGCGACGCCGCGUGGAUGAUGAAGGCCUUCGGGUCGUAAAAUCCUGUCAGAUGGAAAGAAAUGCAUAUUUAUUAAUACUGAGUAUGUUUGACGGUACCAUCAAAGAAAGCACCGGCUAUCUCCGUGCCAGCAGCCGCGGUAAUACGGAGGGUGCAAGCGUUGUUCGGAAUUACUGGGCGUAAAGCGCGCGUAGGCGGUUUGUUAAGUCAGAUGUGAAAGUCCACGGCUCAACCGUGGAAGUGCAUUUGAAACUGGCAGACUUGAGUACUGGAGGGGGUGGCGGAAUUCCCGGUGUAGAGGUGAAAUUCGUAGAUAUCGGGAGGAAUACCGGUGGCGAAGGCGACCACCUGGCCAGAUACUGACGCUGAGGUGCGAAAGCGUGGGGAGCAAACAGGAUUAGAUACCCUGGUAGUCCACGCCGUAAACGAUGUCAACUAGGUGUUGGGGAGGUUAAUCUUCUCAUUGCCGCAGCUAACGCAUUAAGUUGACCGCCUGGGGAGUACGGUCGCAAGAUUA